RNAcentral lists this long non-coding RNA (202 nucleotides) under Salvia miltiorrhiza (redroot sage). Its description in RNAcentral is "long non-coding RNA (SMIL_LNC003147)". The record is from RNAcentral. Lineage: Eukaryota; Viridiplantae; Streptophyta; Magnoliopsida; Lamiales; Lamiaceae.
UUGGGGGGUUGACAAACAUGGAUUUCGUACCUCAAUUCCACAUGAUUUGUUGUCAUUUCCCUUCAUAUUUUGCUUGCCAAUGCGUGUUUGUACCCUAAUGUUGAGUUUUAUGAAGAUUUGAUUCCUUGGUGUAGUUUUGGAGUGAUUUCAGGAAAAAUCAAGGAUUAAUUGGAGGAUUUUGAAGACAUGAGAUUUAAGUACG